This 4227-nucleotide long non-coding RNA is filed under the name Marmota monax (woodchuck). Lineage: Eukaryota; Metazoa; Chordata; Mammalia; Rodentia; Sciuridae. The record is from RNAcentral.
GCGCCUCCUCCUUCGCACGUGGUGUUCCCGCAGCCGCCGCGCUCUCCCGGACUAGGCGCUGCAGCCAUGGCUCCUGGCCACCUCGGUGAGGCCCUCGCGGAGCCGCGCCAUCUGCGAGCUUGCUUCGCAGCUCGGUGUCCCUCCAUGGCUGUGGCCGGGCGGCCACCGCGGGCCGGGCUGGGCUGGGCUGCGGACCUCUCUGUGGGCUGCGAUCGGUGCCUAGAGCCCGCCUGUCCCCGCGCAGCGUCUCCUUCCCCGGGCUCGCCAGCUUGCGACCCGGGUGGCUUCGGGGCAUGGCCUGCCUGUCGUAGGCCCAGACGCUGGCCUCCUCACGCGUGAGGUUCCUCCCCCAGGCCUUGGAGAAGCAGUGUAACGUACUGCAAGUAGUGAGCAAAAAAUGCCUUCUCUUUCAGCCUUGUUCAGUGUCUCUGACAAAACUGGCCUUGUGGAAUUUGCCAGAAAUCUAACGUCUCUUGGUUUGAAUCUGGUCGCUUCCGGAGGAACUGCAAAAGCUCUCAGAGAUGCUGGCCUGGCAGUCAGGUAAGGGACAAUUUAGUUUUUAAGGUAAGUCCAGGCAGAAAGGGAUCCAUCCAGAAAAGAAUGUAAUCCAGGAACCAUGAAUAAAACUCCUUAUACUGAGUAACCCUGCAAGGUUGGUGCACUCCUCACCCACUUCAUGAAAGAGGAAAAUGAGCCUCAGAAGUUUAGUAACUUAACAGAUCUAGGGUCAAGUAAGGUGUAUGAUUGGAACCCAGGUAGUUUCAGAACCCCACAUUAAUUUAGGUGGGUCAUCUGUUAUGCACGAUGAACUCAAAAGUUAUAAUUCCCUCUGUUCACGUGAUUAACUGUUUAAUAAAGCUGUUUACAUGUUUUGAAGAAUCACAUUUACUUCCCCUUGGCACCUCCCCUAAGGGGAUGAAAGAGAGAACAAGUCAUUCAUUGGCUCAUUUAUUACCUUACUGGGCAGUGGAAGGAGAUGCCCAGGAGAUAAAGCAGGAGGCCAUUCCAGACCUCAAGGAGCUUGCAUUAUGGCUGGAGAGGAGGGAAGGCCACUGAAAGGCAGAAAGUGAAAAGGUCAGAUAUAAUAACUGUAGUGAGAGUUCAGAGGAAGGCCAUAUCAACCUCUGAGAGAGAUUUUAGAAAAGGGAUGAAAACUGCCUUUGUUGCUGUGUGGAAAAUUCACUUCUGGCCCUCCAGACCAUGUUGAUGUGGAUUAUCCACCUUUUUCUUCAUGUAAUUCUGUGGUGCAUGAGCAGAGCCUCCCUAGAUGUACAAGUUCAGAUGCCAAGAGAAAGCUUUAUUAAAUAAAUGCUUUCUCUCAAAUUUUUUUUGUCCUUUUCCAGUACUGGGAAUUGAAUCAAGGGUGUUCUACCACUGAGCUACUUUCCCAGCUCCCUACUGCCUCCUACCCCAUCACACACACUUUUUACAAAAAAAAUUUUGAGACAGAGUCUCACUAAGUUUUCCCAGGCUGGCCUCAAACUUGGAAUCAUCCUGCCUCAGCUUCCCAAGUAACUGGGAUUACAGAUGUGUACCUCUGCACCCUGCUGUUUCUCAAAGCCUUUUUACAUCUUAACACUGAGGUAGUAAAAGUGGCUUCUGAUUCUCAACAUGUUGAUGUAUUCCUUCCAGUGUUUUUAUAAGCAUUUCCUCUCUUAUGUGAGGUCUGUGAGAAUCACAGAAAGCUGGCAGGUCCAUUCUUCUGAAGAGCAGCAGGAUGAGACUAUGGAGUCCAUAUGUCUUCUUUCCAUUGGGCUGAGUUGGGGUCAGUUCUCAUCUGCCCCCACCUUUUUCUCCUUCAAACCUUGUAUUAUGGAAACAUUCCAGGCAAAAUGAGUAUAACGUGUAAAGUAAUAAUAACCUCUAUGUGUGUGCUAUCGAGUUUAAAUAGUUAUCAACUUUCCAGUGUUAUUGUUAUUUCUGUCUCUACCUACUCCUCACUUACCCCCAUUAUGAUGAUAGCUUUUCUUUUUUUUUUUUUAAUUGAGAAGAUAGAUAUGUUUCUAUGCUAUUAAAGGGUGAGAAUGUUCUCCAUGAAUGGUUUACAUAGAGCCCAGCACAAUAAACUUCAUUGAAUGGAGUAAGACAAGUGAGAGGGGUGUUUUUUUGUUAUUUGUUUUUUUGGUACGAGGGAUUGAACCCAGAGGUACUUAGCUACCCAGCCACAUCCCCAACCCUUUUUAUUUUUUAUUUUGGGCUCACUUAGUUGCUUAGGGCCUCUCUAAAUUGCUGAGGCUGGCUUUGAAUUUGUAGUUCUCCUUCCUCUGCCUCCAAGCCACUGGGAUUACAGGAAUGUGCCACCAUGCCCUACCUGAGGGCUGUUUUAUGUAUAUUAACUCAUAUAGUCCUCCCAGUAACAUUUUUGGUGUGGGUAAUAUUGUCCCUAUUAGGCAAUUAAGAAAACUGAGUUACAAAGAAAUCUGUAGGGGGGUUGGGUGUGUAAGUCAGUGAUAGAGUGUUCAUGUAGCAUGCAAAGAGGCCAGGAUCUUUCCCAGAAAGGUAACUGUUGUCUUGUGUGGUCAACUGGUGAGGUUUCAGAGUAUACAAUAGUAAAUAGAGAAUUGUUUCUGAAGACUACAUGUGUUACAGACAAAUUCUUGAGUACAAAGGAAUAACAAGCUUUUUAACCCCACAUGUUUAUUUCUAGGAAUAAAUCUGCUAUCUCUGUUUUAAGUGAUAAUCUUUAGUUGGAAGAACUGAAUUUUAUUUACUGAAUUUAUUCCUGUGUAGUGUACUCAGGAAAUCUGUAUCCUGUUUUCAGAAUUUGCUGUUCUAAAAUUUUAUUAUUUUCUUCCUAUAAAUGCCAUAUAUGUUGAUUGCAGAAAAUUUUUUAAAGUGUGGAAAUCUAUAAAGAAGAUAGUAAAAAGGCUUAUAAUUCUCAACAUGUUAAUGUCUUUCUUCCAGUGUUUUUAUAAGCAUUUACUUUACUUCAUAGCUUACACAGAAGAUACAGUUUUGCUUCUUGUUUUUUUUGCCCUUGCUUAUAUAUAUUAUGGGCAUUUUCCCACAUCAUUACAAUUUAUAAUUUUGCCAGAGAAUGUUUAUGUGUGUAGCUUUCUGGAGGUCAGCUUGACUGAUGUGGGUUAAUAUUUUAAAAUUGCCCUUUAUAUUUUGUGAUCCCUGUUAUCGUUUUUCUAUGUAGUUUUAACAUUUACAUAGUAUUUAAUGACGUUUUGUAUAACACCCACACUGCUUCUUUUCCCCCUUUUUUAUGGUAUGAGGAGUUGAACCCAGAGGUACACUAUUCCUGAGCUUCAUUCCAGUCCUAUCAUAUUUUAAUUUUUUUUGAGACAGGGUCUCACUAAGUUGCUGAGAACCUCUCUAAGUUGCUGAGGCUGGCCUUGACUUUGUGAUCCUCUUGUGUCAGUUUCCAGAGUAGCUAGGAUUUGGGGCAUGUCUUGCCACAUCAGGCCUUACCUCACUUUUCAGAACAGGCUUCUUUUUCCACUUGUUUGAGAUGCCACUUUUAUGCUUUUUUAAUCAUAAAACUCAAUUCUUAUUUCUACUUGGUUAAUUUCUGAGAUAAGAAUAUUUUUAAUGCUUCUUAUUAGAUACUGCCAAAUUGCUUCUCAGGUUGAAUCUAUUUCUUAAUAUUUAAUUAGUAUGGUUUAUGAUUCAAUUUCUGAAUUCCUGAAAAAAAAAAUGUAAAAUUAGUGCUUUAGUAUACUGGUUUUCCCCAAACAUAAACUUCAGUUAAAAAAUAGAAUAACAUUUGUUUGGAAAGUUAAUAGAAUUUUAUGUAAGAAAUGAAAUGUACCUGGCCAAGGUGGUGCACUCCUGGAAUCCCAGUGACUCCAGAGGUUGAGGCAGGAGAAUCAGAGGUUCAAAGCCAGCCUCAGCAAUUUAGCAAAACCCUAAGUAGAUUAGUGAGACUCUGUCUAAAAAUUUUAAAAAGUUCGGGGAGGACUAGGAAUAUAGCUCAGUGGUUAAGCACCUCUGGAAUCAAUCCUUGGUACCAAAAAAUAAGAAGUCGAAUAUUGUGAGAAACUUAGGACACUGGAAUAAUUUUUUUUUGUUCAAUUCAGGCUGUGAAAAAAAAUCUCUUGAAAUGAGAACGAUAGACUUGAUGGGAGCUGUUUGGAUUAUUGACAGUUCAGAAAUAGUCCCAAUAUUCUGUUUAUCUGUUUCAGAGAUGUCUCUGAGAUAACUGGAUUUCCUGAAAUGUUAGGGGGGCGCGUGAAAACCUUGCAUCCUGCAGUCCAUGCGGGUAAGUGAUAUUUUCAGUAA